AUUGAACGCUGGCGGCAGGCUUAACACAUGCAAGUCGAGCGGGGUGAUGGUGCUUGCACUAUCACUUAGCGGCGGACGGGUGAGUAAUGCUUAGGAAUCUGCCUAUUAGUGGGGGACAACAUCUCGAAAGGGAUGCUAAUACCGCAUACGUCCUACGGGAGAAAGCAGGGGAUCACUUGUGACCUUGCGCUAAUAGAUGAGCCCAAGGCGGAUUAGCUAGUUGGUGGGGUAAAGGCCUACCAAGGCGACGAUCUGUAGCGGGUCUGAGAGGAUGAUCCGCCACACUGGGACUGAGACACGGCCCAGACUCCUACGGGAGGCAGCAGUGGGGAAUAUUGGACAAUGGGGGGAACCCUGAUCCAGCCAUGCCGCGUGUGUGAAGAAGGCCUUAUGGUUGUAAAGCACUUUAAGCGAGGAGGAGGCUCUUUUGGUUAAUACCCAAGAUGAGUGGACGUUACUCGCAGAAUAAGCACCGGCUAACUCUGUGCCAGCCGCCGCGGUAA
Molecule: ribosomal RNA, 503 nt
Filed under: uncultured bacterium
Lineage: Bacteria
Description: partial 16S ribosomal RNA
Rfam family: Bacterial small subunit ribosomal RNA
Source: RNAcentral